GACGAACGCUGGCGGCGUGCUUAACACAUGCAAGUCGAACGGAAAGGCCCUGCUUUUGUGGGGUGCUCGAGUGGCGAACGGGUGAGUAACACGUGAGUAACCUGCCCUUGACUUUGUGAUAACUUCAGGAAACUGGGGCUAAUACCGGAUAGGAGCUCCUGCUGCAUGGUGGGGGUUGGAAAGUUUCGGCGGUUGGGGAUGGACUCGCGGCUUAUCAGCUUGUUGGUGGGGUAGUGGCUUACCAAGGCUUUGACGGGUAGCCGGCCUGAGAGGGUGACCGGCCACCAUGGGACUGAGAUACGGCGCAGACGCCUACGGGAGGCAGCAGGGGGGAAUAUGGCACAAUGGGCGGAAGCCUGAUGCAGCAACGCCGCGUGCGGGAUGACGGCCUUCGGGUUGUAAACCGCUUUCGCCUGUGACGAAGCGUGAGUGACGGUAAUGGGUAAAGAAGCACCGGCUAACUACGUG
Molecule: ribosomal RNA, 468 nt
Filed under: uncultured bacterium
Lineage: Bacteria
Description: partial 16S ribosomal RNA
Rfam family: Bacterial small subunit ribosomal RNA
Source: RNAcentral